This is an RNA transcript of Carica papaya (papaya), 1863 nucleotides long. It is a transcript of the gene named actin-related protein 8, with no coding region annotated. NCBI's taxonomy places the organism in Eukaryota, Viridiplantae, Streptophyta, Magnoliopsida, Brassicales, Caricaceae. The record is from RefSeq and is a predicted model, not a curated record.
ACUUCUACACCAACCCCAUCUAUUUCGUAGCAGACUCUGCCUAUUUCUCUGGAGAAUUCCUCAUUUAGAAAAGAGAACGAACAUCGGAAGAAGGGUGAGAGUCUUUGUCGCGGUUAUGGCUAUGCUUAAGAAGGUUUGGGGAUCAGUGUAUAACUGGUCGAGUUCGAGGUCCAAUUCGACCUACCCCAUGUCCUCUUCUUCAUCAUCAGUGCUAUCGUCUAUGGGCGCAUUCGAUCCAAUACCUACGGACAUAUUGAUACAAAUACUACGAUUUCUUGAACCAAAAGACACAAUCAAAUUAAGCUUAACUUGCAAAUGUUGGAAAUUGCUCGUCUCGGAUAAUCGUCUCUGGAUUUUCUUCCUUCAGAACCAAAAAGAACCAUGGGAGUCCAUUUUCUUUGCCGAAACCACUUUGAGGUCUGGUUAUCCUUUCCAUCAAACAGGGGAGUUGUCCUUCAUGCGAAUUUAUAGCCAAAGAGAACAAGUCCCUGGCUCUGUUAUAAUUGAUGGUGGCUCUGGCUAUUGCAAGUUUGGCUGGAGCAAAUAUGGUGCUCCAUCCGGGCGUUCGGCCACAUUCCUAGAGUUUGGAAACAUUGAGACUCCAAUGUACUCGAGGCUUAGAAAUUUUUUCGCAACUAUUUAUAGCAGGAUGCAUGUAAAAACAUCUGCACAGCCAGUUGUUGUUUCCCUUCCACUCUGCCAUUAUGAUGAUACUGAAUCUGCCAAAGCAUCAAGAAGGCAGCUUAAAGAAGCCAUCUAUUCUGUCUUGUUUGACAUGAAUGUUCCUGCUGUCUGUGCCAUCAACCAGGCAACUUUAGCUUUAUAUGCAGCAAGACGAACUUCAGGAAUUGUUGUAAAUAUUGGUUUCCAAGUCACAUCUGUUGUUCCAAUUUUUCGCGGUAAGGUAAUGCGCAAAGCUGGUGUAGAAGUGAUAGGACUGGGAGCAAUGAAACUUACAGGAUUUCUCAGGGAUCUGAUGCAGCAGCACAAUAUAAACCUUGAAUCACUAUACACUGUCCGUACACUGAAAGAGGAGCUGUGUUAUGUGGCUGCUGAUUAUGAAGCUGAGCUCUCUAAAGAUACACAAGCUUCAAUGGAAGUUGCAGGUGAAUGGUUUACUCUCUCAGAAGAACGCUUUAAAACUGGGGAGAUCUUAUUUAGGCCACGUCUUGGGGGCGUGGUUGCAAUGGGUUUAGGCCAAGCUGUAGCGCUUUGUAUGGAACAUUGCCAAGCACAAGAGUUGGCAGGUGAUGAUGCUUGGUUCAAGACUGUAGUUUUGUCCGGGGGAAGUGCAUGUUUACCGGGACUCCCAGAAAGGUUACAUAAGGAACUUAAUGAGCUUCUUUGCCCAUCAAUUUCGAAUGGAGUAAGAAUCAUUCCUCCUUACGAUGCAGACACUGCAUGGUUUGGAGCAAAGCUUAUUGCCAAUAUGUUUCCUUGUGAGGGUUGGAUUGUCAUCAUUUUCAGGGAUGUUGAAUGUGCCACUCACAUUUAUGCAUAAUCCGGCACAUAUGCAGUUAUACAUAAACCCAGUUGGUGGUUCCAUGUCCUUAGUUGAGUAACUUCCCCAGGUCUUGGUGUGUGACAAAGAAGCAGUUCCGGCGCAAGUCUAAACUCAACCUGUGGUAGAGAUUUUUUAAUUUUUCUUGCUAGAAUGCAUUUAGGCAACCACACAUUAAUUCUUUUGUAAUAGUUUGUUAAGCAUAAAAAAAUAAGCUCUUUAACAGGUAAUUUAUAGUUGUAUCCAUUUGCAGUCUACAGGGUACCCAAAUUUAUAUUUGUAUCAUAUCAAAUAAUAGCUGGUAACGAAUGAAACCACUUUUUUUAUGAGCCCGGAUGGCUAGAGUGGGGGCUCAAGUGCAA